Molecule: long non-coding RNA, 1564 nt
Filed under: Monodelphis domestica (gray short-tailed opossum)
Lineage: Eukaryota; Metazoa; Chordata; Mammalia; Didelphimorphia; Didelphidae
Description: lncRNA (ENSMODG00000032291.2)
Source: RNAcentral
GGGAAACAGUUGGAGGCAAGAGCCAACUGCUUGACUGGAUUUGAGGUCUUUGGGUUUUCUGGCUGACUGAAGGAAGAAGCUGGGUUUGUCUCUGGGACUUGGGAUAAUUAAGUUGGAGGUGACCUGGCUGAUUUGAAGGCAGAAGAAGGACAAUAGUCCUCAUAUCUCUCUCUGAGUGGCUCUGUUUCAUGCUAGAUCACAGACCCUAGGUGAAGAAUUCACUGGGCAGAGGGAAAAGUCAUAGAUAUUCUGGGUGAAUGGAAGAAGCAUCAUGAGCAAAGAGGCAGGGUGCAAUAAUGGAAUAAUACAUUGGAUAUUGAAUGUAAUGGAAUACAAUAAGGCCUGAAUGGAAUGGAAGGAACCAACUCCCAGCAUCAAUGGUGGCCAUUUCAUCCAAUGGAAGCAGAUGUUGCAUGCCGAAGGACCACAGGACCCAUUCCUCUGGGUGUAAAUUCUCACACUGAAAAUUUAACAAUCAACUCUCAAGUGCCAAUUAGAGGAGACUCCAGCACAUCCCUGCCUUCACCUCAGUGGUACAGAGGUGAUGAGGCAGUCUUGGGGUGAUGGAGGUAAUAGUGAUGGGGAUUAGGGCCACUUCAUCUCUUUGCCUAAAAAAACCUAUGUAAAUGUGAGCCAGGACAGUGGUUUAAUACCUGCAUCCUGCUGCAUAUCUAAGCUACCCAGAGCUGCCUACAGAACUAGGGACAAUGAGGGUUGUACAUCUGUGCUCUUCCUGUUGGCAUCUAUUCUCCCUGUAUAACAGUGUCCCUCUUUAGGAACAGAUCCCACACCUUUUUUCCUGCAUUGUAUGAGGGUUCGGCUUUUCUAUUACAUAUAAUUGAGGCUUUUAAAAAAAUUAUAUAGUAAAUUUAGCAAUAUAUUAACAAAACUGUCCUGCUUGUCUGUUUUCAUUUCUGAACUUCCUUUCAUUUUUCUGUGAUUUUUUGUUUUUAAUAUUCCAUUGACUGCCUUUUCUUCUUUUUUUGCAUCAUUUUUACUAUCCAUCAACUCCCUUUCUUAAAUAGAAGGAUCCUCUUAUAACAAAUAAGUUGAAUUAAGUGGACCAAAUCAAUAUAUUGGCUAUUUCUGAAAAUGUGUUUCUUUCCAAACCUCUGGUCCAUUACCUCCCUGCCAAGAGGUGGGAGGUAUGUUUUAUCACUAGUCUUCUGAAGUCAUGACAAUCCCUGCAUAGUUGUGAAGGUUCUCUUAUAUUAUCAUAAUCAUUAUGUACAUUUUUCUCCUGGUUCUGCUUCUUUGAUCUGUAUCAUUUCAUCAAGUUUGUCUAGGUUUCUCUGAAUCGAACAUAUCUAUCAUUUCUUAACAAUGAAAUAAUAUUCCCUUACAUUCUUAAACCAAAAUUUGUUCAUCCAUUCCUCAAUUAUUAGAUACCCACUUUUUUUCAGUUCUUUACUAUAACAAGAUAUGCUUUUAUAAAUCUUUUUUAACAUAUGGGUCUUUUCCCUUUGUCUUUGACCUUUUUUCCCUAGUCAGGAUAUGUGCAAUUUAGUCAUUUGACAUUUUCUAGAAUGGUUAGACCAAUUUUCAACUUCAUCCAAAGUUCACU